CUUUUAAGUGAAUAUUUGGGAAUACUCGCACUCAUAUGUGUAUAGAUACAUAUGUAUGAAAGAACACUCGUAACCGAAGGAGUGUAUAGCUCAUUUCGCUUGGCAAAGCGGCGGAAUGAGUGUCAUUCAAAGUGAUCGCUUCAAUUGAUGAGGGAGAACAACAACGCCAAUGUAAUUCAUACAUAGAGAUGCGAUAAUUCAUAUCAACGACGAGAACCAAGGCAACAACAAAAACAUGCGCCUACAACCGCUAGUAGCGAAUAGCACUAUCCCCACUAAGAACUAUCGUGUUUUUAUGUACUUGUAUGUAUGUAAUCGGAAAAGACGAAAUUAUGAAUUUCCACUAUUCCAUCUCAUUUCUGUGGGUGUUUGACGAUCAAGGCGUCACCGCGCCGAGCACUGACAAUGCAGCGAUCGUUAAAACAUCUCACGCUCGGUGUGUGCCAAGAAGGAUUAAGUUGAGCGACAACUGCCAGCGGAGCGAAGCGUUUUUUGUUUCUUUUUUGUUUGAAAAAUGUGCAAUAAAUAAUGCAUUUCUAUCAACCAUAAAAUCUCCAUAUAUUUUUUACUGUCUCUUUCUCUACGGCGUCUUCGCUCUUUGAUAUCCUGUGUGACAGGCUUUCAUAGCUUAAUAAAUUAUUUGGUGUAAGUUUAGUUGUAUAAUUAUAGUGCUUAUGGGUGAAAACUUUUGCGCAUAAAUAUUUGGAUAAUAAAAAUGAUUUUAAAGCUUGCUGUGGAAUUCGACCUUAAUGGUUUGCAUUUUAUGCGCAUUUUUGGAUGGAAUGCAAUAAAAUACACCACAUUCAUUAUGCAGCUUAU
Molecule: long non-coding RNA, 819 nt
Organism: Bactrocera dorsalis (oriental fruit fly)
Lineage: Eukaryota; Metazoa; Arthropoda; Insecta; Diptera; Tephritidae
Exons: 3
Source: RefSeq, a predicted model, not a curated record